UACGUAGGGUCCGAGCGUUGUCCGGAAUUAUUGGGCGUAAAGGGCUCGUAGGCGGUUUGUCGCGUCGGGAGUGAAAACACCGGGCUUAACUCGGUGCUUGCUUUCGAUACGGGCAGACUGGAGGUAUGCAGGGGAGAACGGAAUUCCUGGUGUAGCGGUGAAAUGCGCAGAUAUCAGGAGGAACACCGGUGGCGAAGGCGGUUCUCUGGGCAUUACCUGACGCUCAGGUGCGAAAGCUAGGGGAGCGAACAGG
This 253-nucleotide ribosomal RNA is filed under the name uncultured bacterium. RNAcentral's name for it is "partial 16S ribosomal RNA". It matches the Rfam family "Bacterial small subunit ribosomal RNA", at positions 524 to 776 of the family's 1533-position model. The record is from RNAcentral.